RNAcentral lists this ribosomal RNA (253 nucleotides) under uncultured bacterium. RNAcentral's name for it is "partial 16S ribosomal RNA". It matches the Rfam family "Bacterial small subunit ribosomal RNA", at positions 524 to 776 of the family's 1533-position model. The record is from RNAcentral.
UACGGGGGGGGCAAGCGUUGUUCGGAAUUACUGGGCGUAAAGGGCUCGUAGGCGGCCAACCAAGUCAGACGUGAAAUCCCUCGGCUUAACCGGGGAACUGCGUCUGAUACUGGAUGGCUUGAGUUUGGGAGAGGGAUGCGGAAUUCCAGGUGUAGCGGUGAAAUGCGUAGAUAUCUGGAGGAACACCGGUGGCGAAGGCGGCAUCCUGGACCAACACUGACGCUGAGGAGCGAAAGCCAGGGGAGCAAACGGG